Molecule: ribosomal RNA, 468 nt
Filed under: uncultured bacterium
Lineage: Bacteria
Description: partial 16S ribosomal RNA
Rfam family: Bacterial small subunit ribosomal RNA
Source: RNAcentral
GACGAACGCUGGCGGCGUGCUUAACACAUGCAAGUCGAACGGAAAGGCCCUGCUUUUGUGGGGUGCUCGAGGGGCGAACGGGUGAGUAACACGUGAGUAACCUGCCCUUGACUUUGGGAUAACUUCAGGAAACUGGGGCUAAUACCGGAUAGGAGCUCCUGCUGCAUGGUGGGGGUUGGAAAGUUUCGGCGGUUGGGGGUGGACUCGCGGCUUAUCAGCUUGUUGGUGGGGUAGUGGCUUACCAAGGCUUUGGCGGGUAGCCGGCCUGAGAGGGUGACCGGCCACAUGGGGACUGAGAUACGGCACAGACUCCUACGGGAGGCAGGAGUGGGGAAUAUUGCACAAUGGGCGGAAGUCAUAUGCAGCAGCGCCGCGUGCGGGGUGACGGCCUUCGGGUUGUAAACCGCUUUCGCCUGUGACGAAGCGUUAGUGACGGUACUGGGUAAAGAAGCACCGGCUAACUACGUG